UAGGGAAUAUUGCAAAAUGGGCGAAAGCCCGAUGCAGCAACGCCGCGUGGGCGAUGAAGGCCUUCGGGUCGUAAAGCCCUUUUUGAGGGGAUGAGGAAGGACAGUACCCUCAGAAUAAGCCUCGGCUAACUACGUGCCAGCAGCCGCGGUAAAACGUAGGAGGCGAGCGUUAUCCGGAUUUACUUGGCGUAAAGCGCGUGCAGGCGGAUUGGAGAGUUGGAUGUGAAAGCUCCCGGCUUAACUGGGAGAGGUCGUUCAAUACUUCCAGUCUUGAGUGCAGUAGAGGGAAGUGGAAUUCCGGGUGUAGUGGUGAAAUUCGUAGAUAUCCGGAGGAACACCAGUGGCGAAAGCGGCUUCCUGGAAUGUAACUGACGCUCAGACGCGAAAGCUAGG
This 393-nucleotide ribosomal RNA is filed under the name uncultured bacterium. RNAcentral describes it as "bacterial SSU rRNA". It matches the Rfam family "Bacterial small subunit ribosomal RNA", at positions 355 to 764 of the family's 1533-position model. The record is from RNAcentral.